AGCCUACGGGGGGCAGCAGUGGGGGAUAUUGCACAAUGGGGGCAACCCUGAUGCAGCGACGCCGCGUGAGCGAUGGAGUACUUCGGUAUGUAAAGCUCUGUCAGCAGGGAAGAGAAUGACGGUACCUGACCAAGAAGCCCCGGCUAAAUACGUGCCAGCAGCCGCGGUAAUACGUAUGGGGCAAGCGUUAUCCGGAUUUAUUGGGUUUAAAGGGUGCGCAGGCGGCACGGCAAGCCGGCGGUCAAAUCGCGGGGCUCAACCCCGCCCAGCCGUCGGAACUGCCGGGCUAGAGUGGGCGAGAAGUG
This 305-nucleotide ribosomal RNA is filed under the name uncultured bacterium. RNAcentral's name for it is "bacterial SSU rRNA". It matches the Rfam family "Bacterial small subunit ribosomal RNA", at positions 335 to 659 of the family's 1533-position model. The record is from RNAcentral.